Molecule: ribosomal RNA, 253 nt
Filed under: uncultured bacterium
Lineage: Bacteria
Description: partial 16S ribosomal RNA
Rfam family: Bacterial small subunit ribosomal RNA
Source: RNAcentral
UACAGAGGUCUCAAGCGUUGUUCGGAUUUAUUGGGCGUAAAGGGCGCGUAGGCGGCGGGGGAAGUCGGGUGUGAAAUCUCAGGGCUCAACCCUGAAACUGCACUUGAUACUGCUCUGCUUGAGGACUGGAGAGGAGACUGGAAUUCACGGUGUAGCAGUGAAAUGCGUAGAUAUCGUGAGGAAGACCAGUGGCGAAGGCGGGUCUCUGGACAGUUCCUGACGCUGAGGCGCGAAGGCCAGGGGAGCAAACGGG